Molecule: ribosomal RNA, 912 nt
Filed under: uncultured bacterium
Lineage: Bacteria
Description: bacterial SSU rRNA
Rfam family: Bacterial small subunit ribosomal RNA
Source: RNAcentral
CCCUUAGAGUUUGAUCCUGGCUCAGAACGAACGCUGGCGGCGUGGAUAAGACAUGCAAGUCGAACGGGACUUUUCGCUGUAGCAAUACAGUGGAAAGUUCAGUGGCGAACGGGUGCGUAACACGUGGGCAAUUUGCCUUAAAGUGUGGGAUAGCUCGGCGAAAGCCGGAUUAAUACCGCAUGUGGCUACUGGAGACAUCUUCGGGACGCUAAAGGUGGCGCAAGCUACCGCUUUUUGAGGAGCCCGCGGCCUAUCAGCUUGUUGGUGAGGUAACGGCUCACCAAGGCGUUGACGGGUAGCUGGUCUGAGAGGACGACCAGCCACACUGGGACUGAGACACGGCCCAGACACCUAUGGGUGGCAGCAGUCGAGAAUUUUUGACAAUGGGGGAAACCCUGAUCGAGCGACGCCGCGUGGAGGAUGAAGGUCUUCGGGUUGUAAACUCCUGUCAUUUGGGAACAAGGCGUAUUUAUUAACUGUAAGUACGUUGAUAGUACCAGAAGAGGAAGAGACGGCUAACUCUGUGCCAGCAGCCGCGGUAAUACAGAGGUCUCAAGCGUUGUUCGGAUUCAUUGGGCGUAAAGGGUGUGUAGGUGGCGCGCUAAGUCGGGUGUGAAAUUUCGGAGCUUAACUCCGAAACUGCAUUCGAUACUGGCGUGCUUGAGGACUGGAGAGGAGACUGGAAUUUACGGUGUAGCAGUGAAAUGCGUAGAUAUCGUAAGGAAGACCAGUGGCGAAGGCGGGUCUCUGGACAGUUCCUGACACUGAGACACGAGGCCAGGGGAGCAAACGGGAUAGAUACCCCGGUAGUCUGGCAGUAACGUGCACGUUUGGUGUGGGAGGAUCGACCCUUCUGCGCGAGCUACGCGUAAACGUGCCGCCUGGGGAGUACGUCGCAGAUAAACUCAAGAA